ACGGAAGGCAGCAGUGGGGAAUAUUGCACAAUGGGGGAAACCCUGAUGCAGCAACGCCGCGUGAGUGAUGACGGUCUUCGGAUUGUAAAGCUCUGUCUUCAGGGACGAUAAUGACGGUACCUGAGGAGGAAGCCACGGCUAACUACGUGCCAGCAGCCGCGGUAAUACGUAGGUGGCAAGCGUUGUCCGGAUUUACUGGGCGUAAAGGGAGCGUAGGCGGAUUUUUAAGUGGGAUGUGAAAUACCCGGGCUCAACCUGGGUGCUGCAUUCCAAACUGGAGAUCUAGAGUGCAGGAGGGGAAAGUGGAAUUCCUAGUGUAUCGGUGAAAUGCGUAGAGAUUAGGAAGAACACCAGUGGCGAAGGCGACUUUCUGGACUGUAACUGACGCUGAGGCUCGAAAGCGUGGGGAGCGAACAGGAUUAGAUACCCUGGUA
Molecule: ribosomal RNA, 434 nt
Filed under: uncultured Clostridium sp.
Lineage: Bacteria; Bacillati; Bacillota; Clostridia; Eubacteriales; Clostridiaceae
Description: partial 16S ribosomal RNA
Rfam family: Bacterial small subunit ribosomal RNA
Source: RNAcentral